AGUUUGGCUUGAAAUUAAUUUCGAGUCUAAAUUUAUGCUCAAGCUCUACUUGAAAUUAAUUCGAGCCGAGCUCGAGCGAGCGUAACUUCGGGUCGAAUGAGCUCGAUCUCUAAACGAGCCGCUUGAAAUUCAUAAUAUCGUGUAAUCUAUAGUUUAAUUUUUAUAAAACAUUAUUUAAAAUUUGAUACAAAAAAUAUCUAAUAGUUCAACAUACAAAAUGAAUGUAUAAAAUACGAUAUUACAGAAUUAAAAAAAUUAGAAAAAACGACUUUGUAAAUGAGUGAAAAAGAGAGAAAGAGAGCAAUUAGAGUAGGAUUUUACUAGUUGGUUUUGUAAGCCCAAUAAUCUAAAUUCAACAUAGAUAUAAUUAAAAUACAUAAUAUAUAUUAUUUUAUAUAAUUAAAAUAUAUAUUAUAUUUAAUUAUAUAUAAUAGUUCAACUACUAUACUCUAUGAGUAUAGACCCUUUUAUACUCAUAAAUUUUCAACCGUUAGAUAUAUAUUCUUUUGAUCAUUUCCAUCUGUUAAAUCAUACUAUUCAACCAACCACCCACUCAAUCCUAGGAGACCAUUAUCAUUCUAAUUGUAUAUCCAACGACCGAAAUUUAUAAAUAUAAAAAGGUCUAUACUCAUGACAGUAUAGUAGUCCUAUCUUAUAUAUAUAUAGAGAGUUGAGCUGGAAUGCUAUCGGUAGUAAACGGGCUCCGUUACCACCCAUUUGUUCUCGAUGAUGGAGCCUUCGAAUCGACGAUCGAUACCGUUGAAUAUGAUCUAUACCACUUAAAGUAUUUAGAAACCAAAUUUCAAAUCUUUUCGAUAUCAUUGAUCUAAUGAUCAAAAGAUUUCAAAAUUUAUAAUUUUAGUGGUAAAUAUGAGAUGUUUUUACGUUUAAUGGUGUAAAGCUAUCAAAAUCAAUUGAAUUUUGGUUAAAAAAUUCGUUAAACUAUUUAGAACAAGAUCUAUACUCACGAUCAUGAUUAUAAAAUUUCUAUCAUCACUUUUUAGAGGAUAUUCAUUUUCAGCCAUUCAUUUUUACGCCCACUUGAUGGGCAAGAGAACAAUAUCAAAAAAACAUGAAAUUUGAUUUAUAGAUACUUUAAGUAAUAUAGAUUAUGUUCAACGGUGCUGAUCGUCGAUUUGGAGGCUCCAUCAUCGAAAACAAAUUGAUAGCAACAGAGCCCGUUUGCUACCGAUAGUAUUCCAGCUCAACUCUAUAUAUAUAUAUAUAUAUAUAUUAUCAUAUAAUAUAUAUAUAUAUAUAUAUAUAUAUAUAUAUAUAUAUAUAUAUAUAUAUAUAAUUAGGGAGUUGAGCUAGAAUACUCUCAAAAGCAUCAAGGGGAUGGUGCUUUUGAGUUUUUAACCAUUGGAUGGAGAGAUGUAGGGUUUAGAUGUUGAUGGUAGGUGGUGGUAGGUGAAAUAGUGUUUGAUCCAAAGGGUAUUAGUAAUUAAGGAGUAGAUCCAAGGGGUAGAAACUUAGAAGCACUAAGGGAUUGGUGCUUCUAAAAGUAUUCUAGAUCAAUUCAUAAUUAGGCUACUAUACUAUUAAUAGUACCAACCGCUUACUGUUAGAUUUUCGACCCUUGGAUGAAAGGAUGUGCGAUCAGGAUGAUAGUAGCCCUCUAAGGUUGAGUGGGUGGCUAGUUGAAUAGUAUGAUUUAACGGAUGAAAAUGGCCAAAGGGGUAGAUCUAAUGGCAGAAAACUCGAUAGCACCAAAUGCUUGGUACUAUUGAUAGUAUAAUAGCCGGACUCUAUAUAUAUAGGUAGAUCUAAUAGUAGAAAACUCGAUAGCACAAAGUGCUUCGUACUAUCUAUAGUAUAAAUAGUAUAUUAGCCGAACUAUAUAUAUAUAGAGAGAGAUAGAGAGUCCGAGUACUAUAUUAUUGAUAGUACCAAAAGCUUGAUGCUAUUGAAUUCUGUGCCGUUAGAUCUACUCCUUUGACCAUUUCCACCGUUAGAUCACACUAUUCAACUAACCAUCCACUCAACCUUAGGGAAUCACCAUCAUCCUAACUGCACAGCCCUUCAUCCAAGAGCCGAAAACCUAAUAGCAAGUGGUUGAUACUAUUAAUAGUAUAGUAGACUAAUUCUAUAUAUAUAUAUGUAUUUCGAGCUUUUCGAGCCUAAUUCGAGCGAGUCCAGUAAUACCCAAGCUCGGCAUGAAAUUAAUUUUGAGCCUAAAUUUAGGCUCAAGCUUGGCUCGAAAUUAAUUCAAGCCCAGCUCGAGAGAGUCGAAUAUCGAGCUGAACGCGAGUUGAACACGAGUCGGCUCGCUCAUUUGCCUGCCCUACUAUUCGUUUAUCGUUUUUAAUAAAAAUUAGAAUACAAUAUUUUUUUUUUUUUGAGUCCGACUACUAUAUUAUCGAUAACACGAAGGCCUCCGUGUUAUAAAGUUGUUUUCAGUGGUGCGACUUCUGAAUCGACGAUCGGCUUCCGUUAUAUUUUUCAGUUGCGAAAAAAUAUAAUGAAAAUAUAAGUACGGAACACGGUGAACCAUUCACCGUGUUCAACUUAACACCCCUUCAACUUGCGUGGCGCUGAUGUGGCGCCUGCAUGACGGGAAAAUGGUCAAAUUUGCAAUUAUAAAUUUGAUG
This 2591-nucleotide long non-coding RNA is filed under the name Ananas comosus (pineapple). RNAcentral's name for it is "long non-coding RNA (ACOM_LNC024045)". The record is from RNAcentral. Lineage: Eukaryota; Viridiplantae; Streptophyta; Magnoliopsida; Poales; Bromeliaceae.